Jaapia argillacea MUCL 33604 is the source of this 85-nucleotide non-coding RNA. NCBI's taxonomy places the organism in Eukaryota, Fungi, Basidiomycota, Agaricomycetes, Jaapiales, Jaapiaceae. The record is from the annotation of a GenBank genome assembly.
UCCCGCUUAGCUCAGUUGGUAGAGCGCGUCACUAGUACCAUGAUUGGUGAUGACGAGGUCAGUCGUUCAAGUCGGCUAGUGGGAA